Pollicipes pollicipes is the source of this 253-nucleotide long non-coding RNA. RefSeq lists it as uncharacterized. The transcript has 3 exons. The record is from RefSeq and is a predicted model, not a curated record. NCBI's taxonomy places the organism in Eukaryota, Metazoa, Arthropoda, Thecostraca, Pollicipedomorpha, Pollicipedidae.
AGCAGACUAGAUCUGACCAGAGGACACCCUCAGUGCGACUGGGAUGAGACUGACGCUGCUGUUUGCGCUGCUGGUCGCUGGCCUGGCGGUAAGCUGGGCCCAGGAGCCUGUGUCUGUUGAAGAUGAUGCUGAUGUGGCUGUUUCUGCCGCCGAAGAUCUUCAGGGCGCUGACCUGGCCAGUGAUGAGUCGCGCUUCUACGGACACUACUGGCGUCCGCGCUACCACAGGCGCCGCUACUGGAGGCCUCGUUUC